Molecule: ribosomal RNA, 428 nt
Filed under: uncultured bacterium
Lineage: Bacteria
Description: partial 16S ribosomal RNA
Rfam family: Bacterial small subunit ribosomal RNA
Source: RNAcentral
GUCGAGAAUCUUCCGCAAUGCGCGAAAGCGUGACGGAGCGACACCGCGUGAUGGAUGAAGUCCUUCGGGGCGUAAACAUCUUUUAUAAAGGAGGAAAUUUUUGACGUUACUUUAUGAAUAAGGGGCUCCCAAUCUCGUGCCAGCAGGAGCGGUAAUACGAGAGCCUCAAGCGUUAUCCGGAAUCAUUGGGCGUAAAGGGUGCGUAGGUGGUUUGAUUAGUCUCCCAUUAAAACUUCGAGCUUAACUCGAAAAGAGCGGGGGAAACGGUCAAACUAGAGUAUGUGAGAGGUGUGUGGAACUCAUGGUGUAGGGGUGAAAUCCGUUGAUAUCAUGGGGAACACCAAAAGCGAAGGCAGCACACUGGCACAUCACUGACACUGAGGCACGAAACCUAAGGUAGCGAAUGGGAUUAGAAACCCCUGUAGUCC